RNAcentral lists this unclassified non-coding RNA (462 nucleotides) under Hevea brasiliensis (rubber tree). The record is from RNAcentral. Lineage: Eukaryota; Viridiplantae; Streptophyta; Magnoliopsida; Malpighiales; Euphorbiaceae.
ACAUGACAACACUUCUGAAAAAUUAUUCCAUUGCUAGAAUCAUCAAACACAAUCCUGAAACUUCAACACCAACAACAAUCAAUUUUGGGAUUCCAAAUUUAUAGAAAUUUCCUUGAAUUCAACAUGGAGCUGAAAAAGAGAACUCAUUGAUAAAUACAUUAACUUAAUUUCGUAAAUAAAAAGUUACCCAUCAUUUUUACUUUAAGAGGUAAUAGCAGAUGUAAUUAUGGUGGACUUUCCCACAAAAGCACCAACAGCUAAAAAAAUAUGUUCAAUGUUCAAUUCUCAAUCCCGCAAGAUAGGCUAAUUUCUAUGAGCCCAAAUUCCUAUCAUUAUUUUCCCUAUUUACAACGAUCAUGGAAUCUUAACUCCAAAACUGAAUACGCCGCCCCAUUCAAAUCAGAAUUACUUUCAGUAUCCACCCAGAAUAACAGAAAGCAAAAAACAAAAAAAAAAAGAACC